This 320-nucleotide ribosomal RNA is filed under the name uncultured eukaryote. RNAcentral's name for it is "partial 18S ribosomal RNA". It matches the Rfam family "Eukaryotic small subunit ribosomal RNA", at positions 1470 to 1796 of the family's 1831-position model. The record is from RNAcentral.
CCCCUAGAUGUUCUGGGCCGCACGCGCGCUACACUGAACAGUUCAACAAGUCUUAACCUUGGCCGAUAGGUCUGGGUAAUCUUUGAACGCUGUUCGUGAUUGGGAUAGACCUUUGCAAUUAUGGGUCUUCAACGAGGAAUUCCUAGUAAACGCAAGUCAUCAGCUUGCAUUGAUUACGUCCCUGCCCUUUGUACACACCGCCCGUCGCACCUACAGAUUGAAUGGUCCGGUGAAAUCUCGGGACGGCGGCUUGGUCGCUUGCGUCCGACUGCUGAAACUUGAUUAAACCAUAUCAUUUAGAGGAAGGUGAAGUCGUAACA